Molecule: transfer RNA, 64 nt
Filed under: Odontotermes sp. BDIT085
Lineage: Eukaryota; Metazoa; Arthropoda; Insecta; Blattodea; Termitidae
Description: tRNA-Asp
Source: RNAcentral
GAGGAGUUAGUUAAAUAAUAACAUCAGAAUGUCAAACUGGAAUAAUCGGUAAAGAUACCCCUCU